UCUCUUAUAAUGGCAAUGGCGCCCACCUGAGAGGUGCUGGAAUGGAGUUCUGGUGAGUUCUGGCUGAAAAAAAGGCCCUGCUUUUGCUAGUGCAUGCAACCUCAUUUCCAGAGCUGGUAACUAUAGUUUCCAAGUUUGGAUGAAAAGACAAAUUAUGACUAAGAACAGACUUCCUGCUUUUGAUUGAUUGCACUGUGAACAGAGGAGCAAAAGUGGUUUUGUGAACAGGCAGAAGACUUGUUCAUAUUGUGUCUUAUUAAUCUGAGAUAUGAUCAUUUAAAUGUGACUGCUGUUAAUUGGUCAAAGCUAUUUACCGGUUUUGUUAUUCUAAGCUGGGCUUGAACUCAGAAGUCACAGAUGACUUACAGUAACUCUUCCAACCAGUUCCAUCCCUAGCCCAACAAUCACACAACCCACCCUCAAAAACCACAGCUUUUUCAGUUGUUCUGUACCAUACAGCUAAAAACAACGUUUAAAAAAAUAAGACUCAAAAACCAAAUAAUUUUGCAUCUGGAAAAAGAUCUGUGUAUAAAAUAACUCCAGCGAAUUAAAAGGAACAUCAGACUUCAUUCCCCAUGUCAUUUUACUAAUACAGAACUUGCUUUCUAAGGAAUAAUAUUUGUUGUAUGAUACACUUGUUGUCCAUAGUUUUCCUACUGCUUCUUCUGGAAUUCUAAUCCAUGGUCUGAGGAAAAUUAGGGCGUUGCACCUAUCUACCAUUCCCAGCAAGAGGGUGGUAGUGCUGUUGCUGAUUCAUUGUCUACAGAUUCACAUCUUCUGCAGCAUAUAGCUCAAAGAGGUUAGCAGACUGACUUCACACAUUGCAGAAGGUAGAAAACUUAAGUAUUAAGAAAACAGCAGCAAGUGUUGAAAUAUUCACCACUGUAAACAUUAUAGAAUUAUGCAGAGUCUGGAAUAUGAAACAAAUAAACUUCAACUAUGUGCAUCAUUUUCAAAAUAACAAAAGGGACUUCCUCUUCUUUUUGAGUGUAAUCCAAAAUUGCUUCCCUCUAUGCAACAGCUUAUGAAUGACUUUAGUUCCUACUCCAGAUCACCAAUAGUUACAAAUGGAGCGCCCACAAUCCAAGCUCAACAUACUUAGUGUGUGGAGUGACCAAUUCUUGCAAUUGAAUUUGAAGAAGACAGAGGGAGUUUGUCCUGUAGGUAGCCAAUCUUACCACUGGAUCUCUCAAAAAGGGGGGAACAGGUAAUAAAAUGGCAAAUGCAAACACAGUAAGUUUGAAGUGAUGCUAACAAAACCCCUAAAUUCUGAUUAUGAUCACAUGACAGAAUUUUUUUUGAAGGGAGCUUUAGCAUAGUGACUAGCUCAAAUAUCAACUUAUUCAUAGAUGCCCAUCCGCAAUGAGAUAAUGCUAGUCUACUUUACAGUGUUAUCGUAGAUUACUGAGAUAAUUAUGUGAAGCAUACUGAGCUCUCAAAAAUCACUAUAUAAAUGUAUGUAUUAUGCAGGAAUAUAUCCCUUUCCCCCUCUUGAUGGCCUAUUAGCAUAACCUUCCUUAGCUAGGCAUUAUCCCUAAUAUGCGGUAUUCCCUUUCUCUGGCAUUAAGUGUACCUUGCACAUUUCAGACCAAAAUAGCAGAUUCUCUGCUUCCUGAUAUACACCUUGUGCACUAUCAAGUGAUCAGGAAAGAAGCAAAACAGGUACUACAAGGGCAAUGACAAAGCAAACACCCCUCAUAGAUAAACUCUAAGUAGACACACCCAAGUCUCCAGGGCUAACAGCCCCAUGUAAACUGAGCAUUUCAAAAUAAUGUGCAUUUGAUCCAUGAACAGGCUGAUAACCACUAUACUUAUUUGAUCUGGUAUAUAUGAUAUAGAUUCUCCCUCUCUCCCCUGCAGUUUCAGGCUAUCUGCAAAAAUGUUGACUGAACCUCUGACAGGCCACCAUACAUGGUGGACAACCUUUCACCUGCACAGCUGCUGAUCUUUAAUCUUAAACCAGCACAGGCUUGGUAAAUGAGGCUGGAAAAAAGGGAAACAGUAUGCCCCCCCUUUUUUUGGUAAGGACCUUCAGGCUAGACGUGUGGCUUCCAGAGAUUUUGCAGGUGAUUGUCCUGCCUCACGCCCAGCAGAUAGAGGCUCUUGUGUGCAAGUAAGACAGACAUCUUUAUGUACGCAAGUAAGAGUACAGGCUUUGGCAGCAGACACAGUGUUCAAGAGUAACAAUCCAGGAAUCAAGCAAGACAUUCGGAACUGGACAGAAGCAUCAAAGGGGUCCCAACAGUUUCCACACAGUUGAGGCACAGUGGGCAGAGCCUCUCCACAGCCUCUCCUCUGUGUUUUUUUUUCCUACCUCCUCCUGCAUUGGGGCAUGCUGACUCAAUCCUGUGUGGGAGAUUUUUUUUUGCAGUCAAACCUAACAGUGCAUAUCUAUGCUAGUUAGUAAAUGAAGGGGUUAAGGGCCACAGAGCUGUAAAAUGCUAGAGAGAGGAAAUGGCUAGGUCACGCCCCCUCACCUUUGGGGAAGGAAGUUGUUUUGUUUGUUUCCUGUUCCUCUCUCACUCUUCUGUCUGAACUAUGUAACUGACCACAUGCAUGAGCUCAGACUCCAUGCUUGAAGAUACUUUUUGGUUUUUUGUACUGAAGAAGCUUUUACCUGUGAUGUUUCUGCUGUGAUUACUAGGGUGAGCUGGGGGCAAAUGUGGAACUUCAGGAAUAAUUGGUAUUCACCAGUUAUUUCCCAGUAUCCUGGUCCUGGUAGCGCUUCAUGGUUCCUGACAUCGAUUCCUAUGCAUUGUCACCAUCCUACAAAUGCUGCUCCUCUAAGUGGCUGCCUGGAUCGUUAGUGUGGUCAGGCCAGGCCCAUGGCAAGCAUCUCAUCUGGCUGUCAAGAAGGAUAACUAACCAUUGGAGGGUUUUGAGAAGAGCCUUAAUAUGGCCAAGGCAGCUGGAAAGGAUAUUGAUGCUUGAAGACUGCUCCUUGUGAAGACUCCUUUUCCUUGACAGAAUAAUAAGCAAACAAGUCUUAGCCUGCUGCCUGUAGGGAAAUGGGUUUUGUUAUGGAAGGAGAGCGCCCUGCGCUAAAACAACAAACAGAAGAAUGGCUGUGUUUGUUUUUCCAUGUGCUGGAGGUGAGGGUGCAGCCACCACAGGCCUGCCUUCAUAUCCUCUCCAACUGACAGAGGAGGGUGAGGCAGAGACAUAUACAAACAGAAAGACUUUCCUGAGAAUCUAGGGGGAAAACUGCAUGCAACUUGGUAUCACGUGAAAUUCAUCCUUCUGCGGUUGGUCAGGGCCCACAACUAUGAUUGAGGUCAACACUCCCUCACUGUCCCAAUAAAUUUCCCCCAAGUUUCCUCAAGCUGCUAUUGGGCACAGGAUAGAAAAAGGGAAAUACGCCUCCUGUAGCAGCAAACAGAAGCAGGGGAAAGUCUUGUGCAGAUGCAUCCUUAGUGCUGGAGUGCAGGAAUGUUGGCAAAUGACUCAAGGCAUGAAGGAGCCCCUACAAGAAUCGAAAACCUCUCAUCUCCACUUCCUUUACCGCUUAAUGGAUGUAGGUAACAGAAAGUUUUAAAAGGUAAUAAAAACCUUGGUGGCUUGAAUGUUUUGUUAAUUCUGUUCUGAGUUGUAUCAGAAUUACAGGGUAGUAUUGGCACCUAGUUUUUGGCAGUUGUUCUUCUCUCCACCUUUAGAACUAUUGUCUUCAGGCUACGAAGCACAUAUUACGGUGUUCAUGAUAGUCACCUCUUACUAGUUUCUAUGCGACAUUCUUCUACUCAUAUCUAUAGGUGUUCUACAAAAAAAGAAAUUUACCUUGUAAAAGAAAGUUGUGCCAAAGGGCUCAUAUUCCAAAACUGCAAAAAGGGGAUGAACAAAAAUAAGCAAAAUCAGCUUUGAUGGGAUUUACCAGCAGAGUAUAUAGUAGCAUAACUCAGAGAGGUUUCAGCUCAAGGGACAUGGAACUCAUCUGUUAGAACCAUUUACACAUGUAUGUGUCUGAAGACUAAAAUCACAGUGCUCAAUACAUGUAAACAAUGUUCAAAACUACUUCAGUGUGACUGUGUAUAAACCUGACUUGCACUUACAGAACUUCACUCAUUGUCAAAGCUGUAAUUUGCAUUUGCUUGUAUACUGUGGUUUGGAACCAUUAUAUGUCAGACUUGAAGAAUAUGCGCAAAUUAAGGUAAUCGCAUGCUAUCACCACUAAUUUACAUACAAAUGUAAACAUCCAAACUCAUGAAAUAUGUUGGGCCCUGUUAUUAUGGAGAGUAAACAGCAAUGACUCGCCUGUUAUUUACACAGCCACCCAAACAGGGCAUUUUCUUCCACUGUCACCCAGCUGGGCAACACAGCAAGGGGUAUAGAAGUCAGUGUCUAACCUAUGUUCCGAAAUGGGCUCAUAAUCAUGCUUCAUAGGUGGCCUGGCCACCUGGAUUAUGACUCGACAGUAAUAGGGGGUUUGCCAUUGCUGAUGUUGUGGUUGUUGAGCUAUGUGGCAUUCUUUUUUCCUUUUUUAAAAAAAGGCGGGGGAGGGGGAAUGGAGCAACUUAGGCGUUCUUUUCUCAGAACUAUGAACAUUUUUCUUCCCACUACUGAAAUGACUCUAGCUAUAGAUGAUUCUUUCCUCCUCAAAGAACUAGCUAUGAAAGAGGAAAGCUUGUUGUAUUACAGGUGGCGACCAUUUUGCAUGCGUCCAAUUGACACGACUGCCGACGUGCAAGUCCUUUUGGAUCCAGAAGAGGGCAGAAUGGGGGACGUAACAGGGCAGAGCGGGCUUAUGCAUGCUCUGCCAAAGCGUGGGGGGCCAGGAGUGGAACCCCCAUGCAAAAUGGUUGCUACCUGUACUUCAUUUUAUUUUGUUGCAUGUAAUCACUUUUAUGGCAGAUUUGCAAGAAGUGUCAAGUGCUGUAAAGCAUAUUGUACUGACCUUGAGGAUAAAAUCAUCAAGCUGCUAUGGAAGGUAAUCUGAAGUACAAAUCUGAGUGAGCAGCACUCAUUUAAUUUCACCGUUGCCCCAUAUUGUCUCAGCACUAUCUCUAUCAUUACACUUGUUUAAUGUAGCCAGGAUUAGCUUCUGAUGAAAAUGCCACACAAUCAGGGCUGUAGCUGGGGGUGGCGAGUUGGACCCCUGCCCAAAAUCUGCUUAAAAAUGCCCAUAAAUCUGCUAAAAAUCUGCUUAAAAAUGCCCAUAAAUAUGUCUGCUUCAUCCUCUUGAUCGCCGGAGCCUAUGUACCAUGCGCCUAUAUGGAAAUCUCCAUGCGUGCAUGCACACAAAGCGUAGCGUUUUGGAGAGGCCAGCCAGCUGCAGCAGGAGUUCCAUUGGGGGUGUCGCCUUUCGCUUUGAACCCUCUCUUUGCUUGGCUUCCUCUCUGCCUGUCCCCUCCCCAAAAGAAGACCAGGACAGGCCCCUUGUUGAGUAGAAAGGGGGAUUGGGGGGCUUUUAUCCCCUGCCCCCCAGGAGGAGGAGGAGCGCUGCCCUCCUUUGCAUGCCGGGGGCCUCCUCCUCUGUCGCAGCGCAGGCUACGAAGGCGCCAACGAGGUGAGUCAGAGGGCGCUGCUUUGCAGAAGCGAGAAGCCACCAAGACACUUUCCUGCUUUCAUGGAACUGAACCCCAUUUGAACAGGUCAGCUUCCUUCUGAGUAAAAGCAUGGAUUGGCUUGGGCUAAAUAGUCAUGCAAAUAAAGAGGGUGUGUCAGACUCCAAGCCCUGAUCAGGAGAGAAAUGAUAACACCUGGGCACCAUUGAAGUCAAUGGAUUUGUUAGUGGUGAAUUAAAUUGUCCCAUUCAUUUCAAUGGGAUGUGGGCUGCAAUGGGCUUUUGCUGAAUUGGGAUCAUCAAGUGUAAAAUUUGGCGAGUGUAAUAAUGUAAAUUGUGAAAUGGGACUUUUCUGAAAGGACAAACAGGGUCUAGGCGUUCAGAGAAUAUAACAUCAAUACUAUGCCAGUUUCAAGCGGCAGAGCUACUUGAAAAUAUUGGCGCGACUUCCCAUUUAGAUAUGUUGAAAUGUAUGACCAAGUAUGGGUUAAGAGAUGUUUAUCUCAAUAUCUAAAUAGCACUGAGAACAUGUCUCACUAUGCAUCUUGUGAAUGUAGUUUCAAUAAAUUAAAACUCAUAAAAAACAACCUAAGAUCAAGUAUGAGUGAAACCAGACUAACAAAUCUAGCAAUUUUGUCCAUCGAGUAUGAACUAACAAAAAAAAUAGACUUUGAUGAAAUUAUUACUGAGUUUUCUUCGAUUAAAGGGAGAAAAAUAAAGUUAUGAUCACAUUAGACUUCAUUGAGGAGAUUGCUACUUAAAGCCAGAGUUGGCCUAACUUGACUUUUAAUUUUAAUUUUUUCCCUUCAAAUAACAACUCUUGUGAAUAAGAAGUUAUAACUUGUAACUUGUGAUUUGUGAAUCAUAAUAGUCUUCUUACUUUAUAUUAACCAAAUAAACACAGAUAUUGCAAAAGUAAUGCCAUUUACAUCAUAUAGUAUUAUAACGUAAAGUUAUUAUCAUGGAACAAUUCAGUAUGAUAUUGUUUGUACAUUUCAUUUAGGCCUAUCUGUGUAUUGUUUUUACAACUGAAUUACUUUAAAAAACCCUGUCAACUCACAUCAAAAUGUCAUUUUCUUUGCUGAAACCUUUUAUUAAGAAAUAAUAAAUUAAAUAUUGGAUUUUC
Molecule: non-coding RNA, 6623 nt
Organism: Podarcis muralis (Common wall lizard)
Lineage: Eukaryota; Metazoa; Chordata; Lepidosauria; Squamata; Lacertidae
Source: RefSeq, a predicted model, not a curated record